RNAcentral lists this transfer RNA (72 nucleotides) under Marmota marmota marmota (Alpine marmot). It matches the Rfam family "tRNA". Rfam says of the family: Transfer RNA (tRNA) molecules are approximately 80 nucleotides in length. Their secondary structure includes four short double-helical elements and three loops (D, anti-codon, and T loops). Further hydrogen bonds mediate the characteristic L-shaped molecular structure. tRNAs have two regions of fundamental functional importance: the anti-codon, which is responsible for specific mRNA codon recognition, and the 3' end, to which the tRNAs corresponding amino acid is attached (by aminoacyl-tRNA synthetases). tRNAs cope with the degeneracy of the genetic code in two manners: having more than one tRNA (with a specific anti-codon) for a particular amino acid; and 'wobble' base-pairing, i.e. permitting non-standard base-pairing at the 3rd anti-codon position. RNAcentral also lists the same sequence under 4 other names. The record is from Rfam by way of RNAcentral. Lineage: Eukaryota; Metazoa; Chordata; Mammalia; Rodentia; Sciuridae.
GUGGAUAUAGCCCAAAUGGUAGAGUGCUUGCCUUUUAUGCACAAGGCCCUGGGUUCAAUCCCCAGUACCACA